UACGAAGGAUGCAAGCGUUAUCCGGAUUCAUUGGGUUUAAAGGGUGCGUAGGCGGACCUGUAAGUCAGUGGUGAAAUCUCUUUGCUUAACAAAGAAACUGCCAUUGAUACUGCAAGUCUAGAGUAUAGAUGACGUUGGCGGAAUAUGACAUGUAGUGGUGAAAUGCGUAGAGAUGUGAUAGAACACCGAUUGCGAAGGCAGCUAACGAAACUAUAACUGACGCUGAGGCACGAAAGUGCGGGGAGCAAACAGG
Molecule: ribosomal RNA, 253 nt
Filed under: uncultured bacterium
Lineage: Bacteria
Description: partial 16S ribosomal RNA
Rfam family: Bacterial small subunit ribosomal RNA
Source: RNAcentral